RNAcentral lists this ribosomal RNA (718 nucleotides) under uncultured Bacilli bacterium. RNAcentral describes it as "bacterial SSU rRNA". It matches the Rfam family "Bacterial small subunit ribosomal RNA", at positions 48 to 749 of the family's 1533-position model. The record is from RNAcentral. Lineage: Bacteria; Bacillati; Bacillota; Bacilli.
CUAAUACAUGCAAGUAGAACGCUGAAGAGAGGAGCUUGCUCUUCUUGGAUGAGUUGCGAACGGGUGAGUAACGCGUAGGUAACCUGCCUUGUAGCGGGGGAUAACUAUUGGAAACGAUAGCUAAUACCGCAUAACAAUGGAUGACACAUGUCAUUUAUUUGAAAGGGGCAAUUGCUCCACUACAAGAUGGACCUGCGUUGUAUUAGCUAGUAGGUGAGGUAACGGCUCACCUAGGCGACGAUACAUAGCCGACCUGAGAGGGUGAUCGGCCACACUGGGACUGAGACACGGCCCAGACUCCUACGGGAGGCAGCAGUAGGGAAUCUUCGGCAAUGGGGGCAACCCUGACCGAGCAACGCCGCGUGAGUGAAGAAGGUUUUCGGAUCGUAAAGCUCUGUUGUAAGUCAAGAACGAGUGUGAGAGUGGAAAGUUCACACUGUGACGGUAGCUUACCAGAAAGGGACGGCUAACUACGUGCCAGCAGCCGCGGUAAUACGUAGGUCCCGAGCGUUGUCCGGAUUUAUUGGGCGUAAAGCGAGCGCAGGCGGUUUGAUAAGUCUGAAGUUAAAGGCUGUGGCUCAACCAUAGUUCGCUUUGGAAACUGUCAAACUUGAGUGCAGAAGGGGAGAGUGGAAUUCCAUGUGUAGCGGUGAAAUGCGUAGAUAUAUGGAGGAACACCGGUGGCGAAAGCGGCUCUCUGGUCUGUAACUGACGCUGA